RNAcentral lists this ribosomal RNA (306 nucleotides) under Triticum aestivum (bread wheat). RNAcentral describes it as "partial small subunit ribosomal RNA". Lineage: Eukaryota; Viridiplantae; Streptophyta; Magnoliopsida; Poales; Poaceae. The record is from RNAcentral.
AUGUUAGCAAUUGCCGCAUUUUAUGAAAUUUGGAAAAUGGAUGUCAAAACUGCAUUCCUUAAUGGAUUUCUUAAAGAAGAGUUGUAUAUGAUACAACCAAGAGGUUUGUCAAUCCGAAAGGUGCUAACAAAAGUGUGCAAACUCCAGCGAUCCAUCUAUGGACUGGAGCAAGCAUCUCGGAGUUGGAAUAUACGCUUUGAUAAGGUGAUCAAAGCAUAUGGUUUUAUACAGACUUUAGAUGAAGCCUAUAUUUACAAGAAAGUGAGUGGUAGAACUACAGCCUUUCUCAUAAGUAUAUGUGAAUGA